RNAcentral lists this ribosomal RNA (497 nucleotides) under uncultured bacterium. RNAcentral's name for it is "partial 16S ribosomal RNA". It matches the Rfam family "Bacterial small subunit ribosomal RNA", at positions 28 to 507 of the family's 1533-position model. The record is from RNAcentral.
GAUGAACGCUGGCGGCGUGCCUAAUACAUGCAAGUCGAGCGAACAGGCGAGGAGCUUGCUGCGCUGACGUUAGCGGCGGGCGGGUGAGUAACGCGUGGAUAACCUACCUGUAAGAGGGGGAUAACUUCGGGAAACCGGAGCUAAUACCGGAGAAGAUAUUGAACCGCGUGGGUCAAUAGUGAAAGACGGUGUUGCGGUCACGUAUAGAUGGAUCCGCGCCGCAUGAGCUGGUUGGUAAGGUAACGGGUUACGAAGGCAACGAUGCGUAGCCGACCGGAGAGGGUGGUAGGCCACAUUGGAACUGGGCCACGGUCCAGACUACUAAGGGAGGCAGCAGUAGGGAACCUUCCGCAACGGGCGAAAGCAUGACGCAGCAACGCGGAGCGAGUGAUGAAGGUCCUCGGAUCGUAAAACUCUGUUACUAGGGAAGAACCAAUGUGUAAGUAAAUAUGCACGUCUUGACGGUACCUAAUCAGAAAGCCACGGCUAACUACGUG